This 585-nucleotide ribosomal RNA is filed under the name uncultured bacterium. Its description in RNAcentral is "bacterial SSU rRNA". It matches the Rfam family "Bacterial small subunit ribosomal RNA", at positions 338 to 916 of the family's 1533-position model. The record is from RNAcentral.
CCUACGGAGGCAGCAGUAGGGAAUCUUCGGCAAUGGACGAAAGUCUGACCGAGCAACGCCGCGUGAGUGAAGAAGGUUUUCGGAUCGUAAAACUCUGUUGGUAGAGAAGAACGUUGGUGAGAGUGGAAAGCUCAUCAAGUGACGGUAACUACCCAGAAAGGGACGGCUAACUACGUGCCAGCAGCCGCGGUAAUACGUAGGUCCCGAGCGUUGUCCGGAUUUAUUGGGCGUAAAGCGAGCGCAGGUGGUUUAUUAAGUCUGGUGUAAAAGGCAGUGGCUCAACCAUUGUAUGCAUUGGAAACUGGUAGACUUGAGUGCAGGAGAGGAGAGUGGAAUUCCAUGUGUAGCGGUGAAAUGCGUAGAUAUAUGGAGGAACACCGGUGGCGAAAGCGGCUCUCUGGCCUGUAACUGACACUGAGGCUCGAAAGCGUGGGGAGCAAACAGGAUUAGAUACCCUGGUAGUCCACGCCGUAAACGAUGAGUGCUAGAUGUAGGGAGCUAUAAGUUCUCUGUAUCGCAGCUAACGCAAUAAGCACUCCGCCUGGGGAGUACGACCGCAAGGUUGAAACUCAAAKGAAUUGACGG